Molecule: ribosomal RNA, 207 nt
Filed under: uncultured bacterium
Lineage: Bacteria
Description: partial 16S ribosomal RNA
Rfam family: Bacterial small subunit ribosomal RNA
Source: RNAcentral
CACGUAGGCGGAUAUUUAAGUCAGGGGUGAAAUCCCAGAGCUCAACUCUGGAACUGCCUUUGAUACUGGGUAUCUUGAGUAUGGAAGAGGUAAGUGGAAUUCCGAGUGUAGAGGUGAAAUUCGUAGAUAUUCGGAGGAACACCAGUGGCGAAGGCGGCUUACUGGCCCAUUACUGACGCUGAGGUGCGAAAGCGUGGGGAGCAAACA